GGAUCAUUCGCACGCAUCCGGUAAAAUCACUGUGAACCUGUUGGCGUGGGGGUCUGGGCAGAGGCGGGGAUGGAUGGUAUCCAUCAACGUCUCUGUGCAGAAACCUGAGGGCAUCAUGUCACGAUGGGUGCUCUCACACCUCCUUCGUGGCGUGGUGUCAAUACAACCCACCAUAGGACAAUUCUGCCCGGCAUAUGCCAGAAGUCUUUGCGUGCUUCCCUCACAACUUUCAGCGACGGAUGUCUCGGCUCGAACAAUGAUGAAGGGCGCAGCGAACUGUGAGAAGCAUUGUGAAUUGCAGAAUUCCGUGAAUCAAUAGGGACCUGAACGUACACUGCGCUUUCGGGAUAUCCCUGGAAGCAUGCCUGCUUCAGUGUCUACACUAUCAUUCCAAUGAUGCAGCCUCUGCUUCCGCAGCAGAGCCGCGUUGGUGUGCUUGUGUGUUAAGGUGCUCUUGUGCCCCUGACACAUGCAGCGCAUAGGGGGCCCCCUGCGCACCGCAAAAUUGCCAAACAACUCCAGUGCAUGUUUUGCUGUACUGGUGGGUGGGGGGUCGUCUCCCUAGACUGUCUCGGCCCGCUCCCAAGACAUGAAGUUAGGCCAGCAAACCUGCUGAAUUUAAGCAUAUAAGUAAGCGGAGGGAAGAGCAUACUG
RNAcentral lists this ribosomal RNA (654 nucleotides) under Vulcanodinium rugosum. RNAcentral's name for it is "eukaryotic LSU rRNA". The stretch from base 225 to 379 matches the Rfam family "5.8S ribosomal RNA". Lineage: Eukaryota; Dinophyceae; Peridiniales. The record is from RNAcentral.